UACGUAGGUCGCAAGCGUUAUCCGGAUUCACUGGGCGUAAAGCGUCCGCAGCCGGUUUGGUAAGUCUGAUUUUAAAUACCCGGGCUCAACCUGGGAAAGGGAUCAGAUACUGCUGAACUAGAGUAAGAUAGAGGAUGGUAGAAUUUCCAGUGGAGGGGUGAAAUCCGUUGAUAUUGGAAGGAAUACCGAAAGCGAAGGCAGCCAUCUAUAUCUUUACUGACGGUCAGGGACGAAAGUCUGGGUAGCAAACGGG
Molecule: ribosomal RNA, 253 nt
Filed under: uncultured bacterium
Lineage: Bacteria
Description: partial 16S ribosomal RNA
Rfam family: Bacterial small subunit ribosomal RNA
Source: RNAcentral